CUAUCGAAGAAAAACAAGACAGAAAACUUCAACGCCGGGCCAUAAGGGAUGCAUGCAACCCGUUUGAUAAGCCCGACGGGGAGUUAUGGCGCAUAUAUAGGGUGCGGAAAGAAUUAGCACUCUAUGUGUGCUGAACUUGACGCCGACCUCAAGCCUCAACAUGGCGAUGGAUUGCCGGCACAUCUUAAAGUUUUAACAUCACUGCACCUAUUGGCUGACGGUAGUUACUAACGGGGAACUGGACAAGACCAUGGCUUGUCCAUUGCUCAGUCUACCGUCAGCCGGUACUUGGAUCAAUUUGUAAUUGUGGUGAAUAGAAGACUCAAGGACACUUGGAUAGUCUUCCCAGAAAAUUAGAGGUGUUCAGGAGGCAUAUGGGGUUGCUAACAUUUUAGGCACAGUAGACUGCACCCAAGUAAAAAUAUUUCCAUAACCUUUACCGCAUGGCGUACAGUUUCUAAACAGAAAAGGAAUUCAUUCGCUAAACGUUCAGUUGGUAUGUAAUAACUGCAAAAUCAUAAUUAGAAAUUUUAGAAUAAAUCGAAUGGAUGGACAGAAUCGAUAUUUUCUUGUAAACCGUAAGAUCGCCAAAGUAAUCCCUGACAACACCAAUGGGGAUUACUUUGAAUCGGGAUUAGUACGUUUUGUUACAACUCAUCAUUUUGCUAAAUCGGAUACAAAUAGGUAGUCAAAUACUAUUUUGUAAUUUCUAAAAUAUUAAGAGAUUACAUAUACAUAUAACCGUUGUUAUAAUAUUUUAAGUAUAAAUAUUUGUGAAAUGUUUGACGUUUUCCGCGAUUAGGUACAUAGAUACCCAGAGUCGUUCCAUGCAAGUCACCUGUUAGUUUUACGUGAUGUAUCUGCAAAAUUGCAUGGACAUUGGACACUUUAUGAAUAAAUUAAAUUUAGGUUUACCUACCAUGUUUAGGGCUCCACUCCUCAAAUUUGCUCUGCGGUGACCGAACACAUACCCAUGUACAUGGAUUUUUUUAAAUGGGAGACUGGGGGCAGCUGCCUACCAUAUCCAUUGAAAAAGUAUUGUACCUACGUUGGUUGCUCUUAAAGACUAAGAAUUGUUAUUAGAGAAAAGUGGUU
Long non-coding RNA from Cydia pomonella (codling moth), 1095 nucleotides. RefSeq lists it as uncharacterized. The record is from RefSeq and is a predicted model, not a curated record. The transcript has 3 exons. Lineage: Eukaryota; Metazoa; Arthropoda; Insecta; Lepidoptera; Tortricidae.